Acanthosepion pharaonis is the source of this 109-nucleotide non-coding RNA. The record is from the annotation of a GenBank genome assembly. Lineage: Eukaryota; Metazoa; Mollusca; Cephalopoda; Sepiida; Sepiidae.
CGGACACAUCACAUUGAAAUACUGGUUCCAGUACGAUCCCCGAAGUUAAGCAAAGUCAAACCUGGUCAGUAUCGAGAUGGGUGACCGCUUGGGAAUAUCAGGUGCUGUG